RNAcentral lists this non-coding RNA (183 nucleotides) under Paenisporosarcina cavernae. RNAcentral describes it as "6S / SsrS RNA". It matches the Rfam family "6S / SsrS RNA". From Rfam's summary of the family: E. coli 6S RNA was the first non coding RNA to be sequenced, but its function was unknown until recently. It consists of 184 nucleotides that fold into an extended hairpin structure with a large single-stranded internal bulge. Lineage: Bacteria; Bacillati; Bacillota; Bacilli; Caryophanales; Caryophanaceae. The record is from Rfam by way of RNAcentral.
CGAAUCCUGAUGUGUUCGUUUUAUUUCAAUCGAUUUUGACCGAACAAUACUAUCGUCGGGAACUUUUCUUUUAUGGUAGCGAGCACGCCCCCAGGGGACGCUUUAAGUCAUAAAGAGGGUACCCACCUGCUGAGUGCGGGUUCAAAACGAUAUGCUUUCAAUGACGGCACGAUUGGGAUUCGU